RNAcentral lists this ribosomal RNA (466 nucleotides) under uncultured bacterium. Its description in RNAcentral is "SSU rRNA". It matches the Rfam family "Bacterial small subunit ribosomal RNA", at positions 26 to 518 of the family's 1533-position model. The record is from RNAcentral.
AGGACUAACGCUGGCGGCGUGCCUAACACAUGCAAGUCGAACGAGGUAGCAAUACCUAGUGGCAGACGGGUGAGUAACGCGUGGUCAACCUACCUCUUAGUGGGGGAUAACUAGCCGAAAGGUUAGCUAAUACCGCAUACGAUCGUCGCGAGGCAUCUCGUGACGAUGAAAGGAGCAAUUCGCUAAGAGAGGGGACUGCGUCCCAUUAGUUAGUUGGUGGGGUAAUGGCCCACCAAGACUCCGAUGGGUAGCUGGCUUGAGAGAGCGACCAGCCACACUGGAACUGAGACACGGUCCAGACUCCUACGGGAGGCAGCAGUGAGGAAUUUUCCGCAAUGGGCGCAAGCCUGACGGAGCGACGCCGCGUGUGGGAAGAAGGCCUUCGGGUCGUAAACCACUGUCGAAGGGGACGAUAUUGACGGUACCCUUGGAGGAAGCCCCGGCUAACGUACGUGCCAGCAGCCGC